Neopsephotus bourkii (Bourke's parrot) is the source of this 1300-nucleotide long non-coding RNA. RefSeq lists it as uncharacterized. The record is from RefSeq and is a predicted model, not a curated record. The transcript has 2 exons. Lineage: Eukaryota; Metazoa; Chordata; Aves; Psittaciformes; Psittacidae.
UGAAGAUGCUGUAAUAGUGAACAUUUUCUUGAUGCUCCAAAUUAUUUUCCUAAUGUUUGCAAUAUAAUAUACCAAGUAGCUGAACCACUUUUGUCUAAAGCACUGCUCUGUGCUAUGAAUGGUCCCUACACAAUGUCAUGCAAAGAUUUAAGCUGUUAAACUGGCAGGUGAAAAGGCUGCAGCUGCUCUGGUGUAGUUUUUGGACAUCUUUUAUAAAAUGGUUUGGCAUGUAGAUGUCUUCUGUGAGCUGAAGUACAGAAAGGCUUGAUUGAUCUUUAGGGUCUCUUCCAACCCAAACCAUUCUCUGAUGAUGAUGAUACUUGCUUAUGCUUGAAGGAUACAGUAAAGAGAGAGAGAAGACUGUGGACAGACUGUGUGUGUAUGUGUGUGUAUAUAUAUAUAUAUAUUUAAGCAGGUUUUAGAAGAGGGGUACUGUUGUCCAGUGGAGAUGGGGAUUACAGUACUAUGUAUUACAGUAGCAGCUGUCAAGCAAAAGAAGCAGGGAAAUGGAUUUCUGGUUUUCUGAAUUCAGAGAUUAUUUCUGUAAAACCAUAAGGAAAGACUAAUGCUACUUUUGUAACAGAUGUGUUGUUCAGCUUGUUCUCCAUAUACUCACAGAAAAACCAGGGUGGUUCUGUGCAGUCAAGAAUACCAGUAUACUGCUUGAAAAGAAAAGAAAAAAGCUUUUGGAAACAACUGGUGCUUCUUGACUGUCCUGGAGUUUUCAGCAUCUUCAGUACUGUGUGUGAUCUUAAAGCUCUGCUUUUUUUGCUCUUGAGAGUGCAUACAUACACUGAUCACUUCCCUGAACCUUCAAGUUCAUCGUAUUGCCAAAUACUCAAAUGUGGCCAUUGGUAUGUGAUGAAAAACCCAGCUUGAUGCGGUUGCUGUGCCAAAGGGGUGACUGGCUGCUCUGCAUGUGAAGCACUGAAUUUGGCAGCCCAGCAUGUGAGCAAAUGCUUCUGAUCACCACGUGGGAGUUUGUGCCAGUCACAGGCACAAACAGGAGCAGAUGGGCUAUGUGUGCUGCUAGAAACAGUAGGAACUUUGAACUAUCCUGCUUCAUGAAAGAAAGAACUGGAGGGCCCUAAGGAGAGCCUGGAUGACUGAAGACGCCUGUUUUAAGAACAUGGGACAACCUGGAUGAAGUAUGAAACUACUUCUUUAACAAGCUGGAGAGGCUGGAGUUACUGGCUAGCUAGAGUUUGGAGCUGGCAUUGUUAUAACAUUUUUUCUAUCCCCUGUUUGUUAUUUUUCAUUAACUAAAAUAGUCAAAUACAGAAUCUGUAUGGUACCUAUA